CCUACGGGGGGCAGCAGUGGGGAAUCUUGCGCAAUGGGCGAAAGCCUGACGCAGCGACGCCGCGUGGGGGAUGAAGGCCCUCGGGUUGUAAACCCCUUUCGGCAGGGACGCGGUACCUGCAGAAGAAGCCUCGGCUAACUACGUGCCAGCAGCCGCGGUAAGACGUAGGAGGCGAGCGUUGUCCGGAUUCAUUGGGCGUAAAGAGCACGCAGGCGGUUUGGCAAGUCGGAUGUGAAAACCCGAAGCUCAACUUCGGGCCUGCAUCCGAAACUGCCCGACUAGAGGUAGGUAGGGGAGAUCGGAAUUCCUGGUGUAGCGGUGAAAUGCGCAGAUAUCAGGAGGAACACCGGUGGCGAAGGCGGAUCUCUGGGCCUUCCUGACGCUCAGGUGCGAAAGCUAGGGGAGCGAACAGGAUUAGAUACCCUUGUAGUC
This 432-nucleotide ribosomal RNA is filed under the name uncultured bacterium. RNAcentral describes it as "partial 16S ribosomal RNA". It matches the Rfam family "Bacterial small subunit ribosomal RNA", at positions 338 to 795 of the family's 1533-position model. The record is from RNAcentral.